GGCUGAAAAUCUUUUUGUUUCGUGAGAGCAAGAAGAGAUGCCCUUUGCAAAGGAAACGAGCAUUUUGAUAGACGGCGCUAGUCACGGACAAAAGACUUCCACACUCCAGCUAUGUUUGGUAAUGCCUUGCUAAAAUACUCUCCCCAAAUAAUGACUGAUGAUUGACUAUGGUGACUGAGACUCAGGAACAUGGCAAACACGUUCGCAGAAAUAAACAAUGUGAGCCCGCUGCUCUGAGGGAAACAACUGAUGGUUUCUGUUUCCAGUGAUGAAAUUUGAACUUUGAAGUGAAAAAAAAAAAAUCAGAAUUUUAAAAAACUUGCAUCCACCCACCAUGAACUUCACAGCUUCCCACCACUUAAAAACUCUUCUGAUGGUAUUCUGAGAUGGAAUAUGGCAACAUUUGGAAGAUCUGCAUAACUCACUAGACGGGGAUUUUCCAAGGGACCGAUGCACGAUAUUACAAGAUGAGGCAUGGGUAAAAAAAAAAAAAAAAAAAAAAAUCCAUUCAAAGUGCAAGACAGACCAAUGCAUUUCAAUGUAG
Mustela erminea (ermine) is the source of this 544-nucleotide long non-coding RNA. RefSeq lists it as uncharacterized. The record is from RefSeq and is a predicted model, not a curated record. Lineage: Eukaryota; Metazoa; Chordata; Mammalia; Carnivora; Mustelidae. The transcript is spliced from 2 exons.